GGUCUAGUGGUGUAAUGGUUAUCACGUCUCGCUCACAAAGUGGCUUCAAUCUACGAGUGCCGAGGAGGCUCAGAGUUCGAUCCUCUGCUGGAUCA
RNAcentral lists this transfer RNA (95 nucleotides) under Yarrowia lipolytica. It matches the Rfam family "tRNA". Rfam says of the family: Transfer RNA (tRNA) molecules are approximately 80 nucleotides in length. Their secondary structure includes four short double-helical elements and three loops (D, anti-codon, and T loops). The record is from Rfam by way of RNAcentral. RNAcentral also lists the same sequence under 1 other name. Lineage: Eukaryota; Fungi; Ascomycota; Dipodascomycetes; Dipodascales.